UACGGAGGGUGCAAGCAUUGAUCGGAAUUACUGGGCGUAAAGGGCGCGUAGGCGGUUGUGUAAGUCAGAUGUGAAAUUCCAGGGCUCAACCCUGGAGCUGCAUUUGAAACUGUAUAACUAGAGGGCAGUUAGGGAAAACGGAAUUCCACGUGUAGCGGUGAAAUGCGUAGAGAUGUGGAAGAACACCAGUGGUGAAGACGGUUUUCUGGGCUGUUACUGACGCUGAGGCGCGAAAGCAUGGGGAGCAAACAGG
RNAcentral lists this ribosomal RNA (253 nucleotides) under uncultured bacterium. Its description in RNAcentral is "partial 16S ribosomal RNA". It matches the Rfam family "Bacterial small subunit ribosomal RNA", at positions 524 to 776 of the family's 1533-position model. The record is from RNAcentral.